RNAcentral lists this long non-coding RNA (660 nucleotides) under Brassica napus (rape). RNAcentral describes it as "long non-coding RNA (BNAP_LNC001750)". The record is from RNAcentral. Lineage: Eukaryota; Viridiplantae; Streptophyta; Magnoliopsida; Brassicales; Brassicaceae.
CUAACGAAAUACACAUCAAGCCUAAUCCGGUACCUAAACCAGACUUAGGACUUAAUGUCAUAACCUGCAAGCAAAUCAAUCAACCACAAUCACAAUAAUAACUAUGAGUAUCACGACUCGAUCUAACUAGUAUCACCGUAUAUCGGUGCUACAAUGUCUCUAGGACAAUCUAACACAACACAACACACUACCCCGUGAAAUGGUGACUUAGUGUUCAUCCUCUCUAUCGGCAAUAUCCUAUCUUCCUACCACAAAGGCCAGAAGAAGGAACUUUCAACCGACCGCGGCCCACAGUCCUUCGGGUCACCGCGCGACAGCCCACAGUCCUUCGGGUCACUGCCACAUUACACCGCCGUGUAAUCACUCUGCCAUAGGCCAUGAUCCCGUCUCUCUGAGUCUUCCCGAUCCAGCCAAUAAGGGGUUUCCUUGAACCCGCUGAAUACGAGGGUGAGGAAACACUAACCAACCCCAAAAAAGCCUACUAUGGGCGGGUUACGCACAUACUGUCGGCACACUCACACAACACAAACUCAAUCUAGAACCUAACGUAAUGAUAAAGUUCUAGACACUAACCAGACACUCGACUCGACAACACAAACCGAUAGUACCAGUAGUCCGGCCUAUAUGGCCUAAGACCCUGAGUACUAAUAACUAAACAAU